GGGUCAGUAGGUUGGUCGUGCCACCGGUACGUACUGGUCUCACUGAUUCCUCCUUCCUGAAGAACCGUAGUGCCAUUAAUUUGGUGUUGCGGGGAAACAGGACUGUUACUUUGAAAAGAUUAGAGUGUUUAAAGCAAGCUAACGCUUGAAUACAUUAGCAUGGAAUAAUGAAAUAGGACGAUCGAUCCUAUUUUGUUGGUUUCUAGGAUUGACGUA
This 216-nucleotide ribosomal RNA is filed under the name Glomeromycotina sp. RNAcentral describes it as "partial small subunit ribosomal RNA". The stretch from base 40 to 216 matches the Rfam family "Eukaryotic small subunit ribosomal RNA", at positions 686 to 864 of the family's 1831-position model. Lineage: Eukaryota; Fungi; Glomeromycota. The record is from RNAcentral.